UUGCGCCUGCGCGGCGCGGCGCUGCGGAGACCGUUGGCUCAUUUGCAUGUCCCCGCCUCGCGCGGCGGCGACGGCGGCGGCGAGUGAGGAGCCUGAGGUGGCGGCGGGGGCGGCUCCGCGCGCGGUGGGCUCCGGGUCAAAGAAACAUGGCAGCAAGGCGAAUUGCUCAGGAGACUUUUGAUUCUGUAUUACAAGAAAAAGCUAAACGAUAUCACAUAGACCCCAGUGGUGAGGCUGUAGGUGAAACAACUCUUCAGUUUAAAGCUCAAGAUCUCUUAAGGGUGGUCCCAAGAUCCAGAGCAGACAUGUAUGAUGACGUUCACAGCGACAGCAGAUACUCCCUCAGUGGAUCUGUAGCUCACUCUCGAGACACGGGGAGAGAAACCUUGAGAGGUGAUGUAUUUCCAGGGCCUUCCUUCAGAUCGAGCAACCCUUCCAUCAGUGAUGACAACUACUUUCACAAAGAAUGUGGCCGGGAUCUAGAAUUUUCCCACCCUGACUCCCGGGACCAGGUUAUUGGCCACCGGAAAUUGGGACAUUUCCGUUCUCAGGACUGGAAAUUUGCGCUCCGUGGCUCUUGGGAGCAAGACUUUGGCCAGUCAGUUUCUCAAGAGUCCUCUUGGUCACAGGAAUAUAGCUUUGGUCCUUCUGCAGUAUUGGGGGACUUCGGCUCCUCCAGGCUGAUUGAGAAAGAGUGUUUGGAGAAGGAGAGUCGGGAUUAUGACGUGGACCAUCCAGGGGAGGGUGACUCUGUGCUCAGGGGCAGUGGUCAAGCCCAGGCCAGAGGCCGAGCUCUAAACAUCGUUGAUCAGGAAGGUGCCCUCCUAGGAAAGGGGGAGACUCAGGGCCUGCUCACAGCUAAGGGCAGUGUCGGGAAACUUGUCACACUGAGAAGUGUGAGCACAAAAAAAGUACCUGCUAUAAAUCGUAUUACUCCCAAAACUCAGGGCACUAACCAAAUCCAGAAAACCACCGCCAGUCCCGAUGUGACCCUGGGGACAAAUCCAGGGACAGAAGACAUCCAGUUUCCCAUUCAGAAGAUCCCUUUGGGGCUGGAUCUGAAGAAUCUUCGGCUCCCCAGAAGAAAGAUGAGCUUUGACCUCAUAGAUAAGUCUGAUGUUUUUUCAAGAUUUGGUGUAGAAAUAAUCAAAUGGGCAGGAUUUCACACCAUAAAAGAUGAUGUUAAAUUUUCCCAGCUUUUCCAGACUCUCUUUGAACUCGAAACUGAAACUUGUGCUAAAAUGCUUGCCUCAUUCAAAUGCUCCUUAAAACCAGAACACAGAGAUUUUUGCUUUUUUACUAUCAAAUUUUUAAAGCACUCUGCUUUGAAAACACCCAGAGUUGAUAAUGAAUUUUUAAACAUGCUUCUAGACAAAGGUGCUGUGAAGACCAAAAAUUGCUUUUUUGAAAUCAUAAAGCCCUUUGAUAAGUAUAUAAUGAGACUUCAAGACCGUCUUCUGAAGAGCGUCACUCCUCUGCUCAUGGCCUGCAAUGCCUAUGAGCUGAGUGUCAAGAUGAAGACCCUCAGUAACCCCCUGGACUUGGCUGUUGCCCUAGAGACCACCAAUUCUCUCUGCCGGAAGUCUUUGGCUCUUUUGGGACAGACAUUCUCCUUGGCCUCUUCAUUCAGGCAAGAGAAAAUCUUAGAAGCCGUCGGCCUCCAAGAUAUAGCUCCCUCUCCUGCCGCUUUUCCAAACUUUGAGGACUCAACUUUGUUUGGUAGAGAGUACAUAGAUCACCUGAAGGCCUGGCUGGUUAGCAGCGGGUGUCCCCUCCAGGUCAAGAAAGCUGAACCAGGACCCGCACGAGAGGAAGCGAAAAUGAUUCCUCCUAUGAAACUAGAAAUUCAGGCCAAGGCUCUGAGUGGUCUGAGUGAAGUGGUCCCCCAACGAGCAGAUCACAAGGUGGUUGACACCAUUGACCAGCUUGUUACACGUGUUGUCGAAGGCAGCCUGUCUCCCAAAGAGAGAGCUGUUCUCAAGGAGGACCCUGCUUACUGGUUUUUGUCUGAUGAAAAUAGUCUGGAGUAUAAAUAUUACAAGCUGAAGUUGGCAGAAACGCAGCGGAUAAGCCAGACCUUACCAGGAGCUGAUCGGAAGCCAACCUCAGCAGAAUGUGCCAUGCGGGCCAUGCUGUAUGCCCGGACAGUCCGCAGCCUCAAGAAGAGACUGCUUCCAUGGCAGCGUCGGGGGCUCCUCCGUGCACAAGGUCUCCGGGGGUGGAAGGCAAGGAGAACGAGCACCGGGACCCAGACCCCCUUGUCCUUGGGCACAAGGCUGAAGCACCACAGCCGGCAGGCUCCAGGCCCCUUGCGGGCAAAGCCAUCACUGCCAGACAGAAAUGAAGCUGUGAAGGAUUGCCCACCAGACCCUGCUGGACCCUCUGUUUGUGACCCCACCCCAGAAACCUCAGGCCCAUCCCCCAGGCCAGCAGGAGUGGACAUCUCUGAAGCCCCUCGGACCUCCUCUCCCUGCCCAUCUGCUGAUGUUGACGUGAAAACAAUGGAGACUGCAGAGAAACUGGCCAGAUUUGUUGCUCAGGUGGGACCAGAGAUAGAACAAUUCAGCAUAGAAAACAGCAUCGAUAACCCCGAACUGUGGUUUCUCCAUGACCAAAACAGUGCUGCUUUCAGAUUCUACCGGAAGAAAGUGUUUGAACUGUGCCCGUCAAUUUGUUUCACGUCAUCGCCACUCAACCUCCACACUGGCGGUGAGAGUGCAGAUUCUCAGGAGAGCCCCUUAGACCACAUGGAAGGGGAAGCAGAAUUUGAGGAUGAGGCCCCUCAGCAGCAGGCUGAGCUGGAGAGCCCAGAGGCGAUGCCUGAGGAGGAGGACGAUGAUGACGACGAUGACGACGACGAUGACAGGGAUGGGGCAGAGGAGGCCCCUGCAGGGGCCGGCAAGUCCAAGGGCAGCCUCCUUGCCGAUGGCCUCCCCGGCGAGACUGCCGAAGAUGACCCAGCCGGAGUGCCUGCCUUGUCACAGGCCUCCUCGGGCACCUGCUUCCCCCGGAAGAGGAUCAGCAGCAAGUCAUUGAAGGUUGGCAUGAUUCCAGCUCCCAAGAGAGUGUGUCUCAUCCAGGAGCCAAAAGUCCAUGAACCAGUUCGAAUCGCUUAUGACAGGCCUCGGGGUCGUCCCAUGUCCAAAAAGAAGAAACCCAAGGACUUUGACUUUGCCCAGCAGAAGCUGACCGACAAGAACCUGGGCUUCCAGAUGCUGCAGAAGAUGGGCUGGAAGGAGGGCCACGGCCUGGGCUCCCUCGGGAAAGGCAUCCGGGAGCCCGUCAGCGUGGGAACCGCCUCGGAAGGGGAGGGGUUGGGUGCCGACGGGCAGGAGCACAAAGAAGACACAUUCGACGUGUUCCGACAGAGGAUGAUGCAGAUGUACAGGCACAAACGGGCCAACAAAUAGAUCAAAACCACUGGUGAGAAAGAUAAGCCUUGAAGCAGCAAUUACCCUUAAAACAUCAGCCCCGCCCCGGACCUGCCUGGAGCCAGUGCCCAAGUACGGUUUGUUCCAGGGUCUCUCCCGUGAGGACAACAGGCAUCCGGAAAGUGCUAACUCGCCACUUCGGGUGCUUACUGUCUGUGGCUUGUUUCCAUCACUGGAAAUCACUUAGAGAAUCUUAGUGUGUUUGGUCCCUGGUAAAACCUAGAAGACAUUUGUGAUGUUAUAAAAUGGAAGUUUUGUUUUAUAAAUCUAAGAAGUUGUGAAUGUUGUUAGUCAUUUAGCAGUUGCAAUAAAUGUAGAGGAAA
Molecule: RNA transcript, 3754 nt
Organism: Propithecus coquereli (Coquerel's sifaka)
Lineage: Eukaryota; Metazoa; Chordata; Mammalia; Primates; Indriidae
Gene: SUGP2
Gene name: SURP and G patch domain containing 2
Exons: 12
Source: RefSeq, a predicted model, not a curated record